Molecule: ribosomal RNA, 543 nt
Filed under: uncultured bacterium
Lineage: Bacteria
Description: bacterial SSU rRNA
Rfam family: Bacterial small subunit ribosomal RNA
Source: RNAcentral
GCGGGGCCUGCGGAUCAUCAGUUAGUUGGUGGGGUAACGGCCUACCAAGACGACGACGAUUAGGGGACCUGAGAGGGUGACCCCCCACACUGGCACUGACACACGGGCCAGACUCCUACGGGAGGCAGCCGUCGGGAAUAUUGCACAAUGAGCGAAAGCUUGAUGCAGCAACGCCGCGUGCGCGAUGAAGGUCUUCGGAUCGUAAAGCGCUUUUCGAGGGGAUGAGGAAGGACAGUACCCUCGGAAUAAGUCACGGCUAACUACGUGCCAGCAGCCGCGGUAAAACGUAGGUGGCGAGCGUUAUCCGGAUUUACUGGGCGUAAAGCGUGUUCAGGCGGUUUGGGAAGUCGGGCAUGAAAUCUCUUGGCUCAACCAGGAGAGGCUGUCCGAUACUUUCAGACUUGAGGGCAACAGAGGGCGAUGGAAUUCCGGGUGUAGUGGUAAAAUGCGUAGAUAUCCGGAGGAACACCAGUGGCGAAGGCGGUCGCCUGGGUUGCGUCUGACGCUAAAACACGAAGGCUAGGGUAGAGAACGGGAUUAGAA